UCUCUGGUGGCUCAGAUGGUAAAGAAUCUGCCUACAAUGCAGGAGGCCCAGGUUCGAUCCCUGGAUUGGGAG
This 72-nucleotide transfer RNA is filed under the name Bos taurus (domestic cattle). It matches the Rfam family "tRNA". Rfam says of the family: Transfer RNA (tRNA) molecules are approximately 80 nucleotides in length. Their secondary structure includes four short double-helical elements and three loops (D, anti-codon, and T loops). Further hydrogen bonds mediate the characteristic L-shaped molecular structure. tRNAs have two regions of fundamental functional importance: the anti-codon, which is responsible for specific mRNA codon recognition, and the 3' end, to which the tRNAs corresponding amino acid is attached (by aminoacyl-tRNA synthetases). tRNAs cope with the degeneracy of the genetic code in two manners: having more than one tRNA (with a specific anti-codon) for a particular amino acid; and 'wobble' base-pairing, i.e. permitting non-standard base-pairing at the 3rd anti-codon position. Lineage: Eukaryota; Metazoa; Chordata; Mammalia; Artiodactyla; Bovidae. The record is from Rfam by way of RNAcentral. RNAcentral also lists the same sequence under 5 other names.